Molecule: long non-coding RNA, 2555 nt
Organism: Paramisgurnus dabryanus
Lineage: Eukaryota; Metazoa; Chordata; Actinopteri; Cypriniformes; Cobitidae
Source: RefSeq, a predicted model, not a curated record
UAAAUAACCUGUAGAUUGAUCAGUACUGUAACACAUACAAACGAAAAACACAACGCGUUAUAAGAAAAAAGGGACCGCUUUAUGAAUUUACUUAUCAUGGUUGAAAACAUCUACUCUGGAUCUAUACGCGGAAAACGGGGGAUGUGUUGACCAAGCCUGGGUCAGCUCCAUCAAUCCAGAUCUCCUUCUAACUAAAUGAUGGAUCUGCGGACACGGAGAUAAGCUUUAAGUGUGUGUGGGAUUGCCAUGGGGACAGCUGGGUGUGGGAAGCCAGAGCAAACAUGGCAAAAGCUGGAUGGUGACUCCGACUGACUCGCCGGGAGACAAAAGAGGCUCCCGUCAGAGCUAAUGGGGACACAUGUAACAGGAUUACGGCCCUAGACACUGAUGGGGGGGAAGACCACAUUGGUAGCUACUACACAUCUACACACACCUCCCCCUCGUCUGCCCCGCUGCCGUACCCUGAGAACAUCCCACUCAAUCACAUCCCACUGACACACUCAACCACAGCAGGCCCAUUCACAGACUCCAGGAACACUCCAACCUGAACGGGCCUUUCCCACAGCCAGCUCCACGGAAACCUCCUCUGCCACUUCAGUACGAACCCGAAUCACCAUCGAUUUGACUGCGAGUUUCAGAUUUUAGUUAUAAAUCUUAUAUUAGUGGUGCUGAGACAAGCAUUAUAUAAUUAUUGUUUAUACUUUGGGUUCGGUGCUAUUACUGAUCUCUAUACAGUAUUAGGACUAGAAGUGGUUGCCUGAUGUAUGAUAAAAUGGGUGAUCUACUGUAGAUAUAUCUAGAAAAGGCAUAUCUAGUUCUAGUUUCAAUACAUGGUUGGGUAUGCAGAGUUAUUUUAACUUAUUCAAAGGUUUAUUUUUUAAACCAGUGAUUGGGUUUCCCCAAAUUUUACCCAACCAUGGGUUGAAAGACUUAAUCCCGGCCCUUCGGUCAUUCAGAAACACUACUUUGUUAAUCCAUUAAGAGUCUAAAAAAAAGCUCAUUUACAAGGAAACAUGUCCGACGCACUUAGAGGGUUUUGCAUGAGCUCUUAAUUUAUAGUGUAAAUCUAAAGAAUUUGGAGUUAUCCUUAUUUUAACUAGGCACCUAACAUGCUUAAAACACUCAGCACCCUGGUAACUAUUACUUUGAGAAAACCUCUGCACAGGCAAGCACCACUCACAUUUUCUUUCAAAAUUUCAAAAAUCUAGUUGACGUUUAUGAUCUAGUGGGAGGUACAGACUAGACUCGGAGGCAGUUCUUCCUCUCCUUUCUCUCGCACAGCCAAAUUCCUAUACUCCUUCCAAGACACCCAGUCAAUUAAUAAGACAUCGUCACACCCCUUUGCAGCCCCCUGCACAAGAGGCCACCCAGGAGCUGCAGCCCAGUCUCUAAAGCAGCUUCUCUGGUGGCCCAGUGGAAUGCCGGGCGAGACUGGAGGGAAGGACCUCGGGGCCGAAGUGCAGAAGAAAAGAAAGAGUCCCAUCAUUGCUCACCGGGGCACUCCGGUCAAAAUUUGACCAAGACAAUAGGAGAUAGGUACUGGGCAGAAUUCCUGCUCUUAAACACCUCCCACUUUAGGGCCAAACCCCCUUUUUGGCCAGUUCAGUAAUGUAAUGUCUUUUUGCACCGUGUUACUCAAGCACUCAUAUGUUUUGAAAUCAAUACAUAAGUGACCUAGAUUGUAAUUUAUAGUUUGAAUAUUCUUAUUUUUAUUAAAGCUAUGGUGCUCAAGUGAUAUUCGGUUCUCCCUAAUAUCGGUGUUAAAAAAAUGCUUUUACACUUUAAAAAUGCUGGGUUGUUUUAGCCCAUGGUUGGUAAAAAUAUAUGGAUAGAUAUGGAAUUAACCUUUGGGUUAUAGAUUAAAGUCGCCAUGAAACAGAAGUGGCGAUUGCCUUAUUUUCCCUGUGGUGACGUACACUACUGUGCAAAAGUCUUAGGCCACCAUGCCAGAAUUAGAUUUGUUGUUUUUGCAAUGUUAUGGUGAUCAUAUAUAAUUGUUUCCCAGUCGCUUUAAUAGAAUACAUCCAGAAAAUACAGAAAAUGUGUAUAUAUUAAAAACUGUAUAAAAAUGUAAACAAUCAUGUCAAGUUUUUAGGGUAAACCUACCUUCCACUUGAGCAAUAACAGGAAACUGCAGGAUCUCUUAAAUCUAAAUAAAAUUAAAUCCUAAUCUCCAAUUUUAAAGAAAUUUGUCUUUUUACUUAAUUCUGCUCAAAAAUGCUCAAGAUGUGUUUAGAGGUCACACUGAACACUGACGAUGCCUGAAGACGACAUUUAGUCCUGACAAUUAAAAAAAAAUUGGACAUAUUUACUGUAUUUUCUGUUUGCAUCUUAAUAAAAUAGAUUGGAAAAUUAUUAUGAAUGGACAUUAAAACUUCUAAAACAACAAGUCUGAUGGUGGUGGCCUAAGACUUUUGCACAGUACUGUAUAUCCGAGUGAAAUGGCUUCUGAAAUUAAAUAAGGCAGGGCUGGAUUUGAAUUUGUCCAUCAGGAUCUGACUGGAUCGUCUGAAUUUGGGUCGUGUUGCUAAAUGCUGCGAUCUUCUCCCAGACCC